This 1956-nucleotide ribosomal RNA is filed under the name Salmonella enterica subsp. enterica serovar Panama. RNAcentral describes it as "partial 23S ribosomal RNA". It matches the Rfam family "Bacterial large subunit ribosomal RNA", at positions 711 to 2647 of the family's 2925-position model. The record is from RNAcentral. Lineage: Bacteria; Pseudomonadati; Pseudomonadota; Gammaproteobacteria; Enterobacterales; Enterobacteriaceae.
AGACCCGAAACCCGGUGAUCUAGCCAUGGGCAGGUUGAAGGUUGGGUAACACUAACUGGAGGACCGAACCGACUAAUGUUGAAAAAUUAGCGGAUGACCUGUGGCUGGGGGUGAAAGGCCAAUCAAACCGGGAGAUAGCUGGUUCUCCCCGAAAGCUAUUUAGGUAGCGCCUCGUGAAUUCAUCUCCGGGGGUAGAGCACUGUUUCGGCUAGGGGGCCAUCCCGGCUUACCAACCCGAUGCAAACUGCGAAUACCGGAGAAUGUUAUCACGGGAGACACACGGCGGGUGCUAACGUCCGUCGUGAAGAGGGAAACAACCCAGACCGCCAGCUAAGGUCCCAAAGUCAUGGUUAAGUGGGAAACGAUGUGGGAAGGCCCAGACAGCCAGGAUGUUGGCUUAGAAGCAGCCAUCAUUUAAAGAAAGCGUAAUAGCUCACUGGUCGAGUCGGCCUGCGCGGAAGAUGUAACGGGGCUAAACCAUGCACCGAAGCUGCGGCAGCGACACUCAGGUGUUGUUGGGUAGGGGAGCGUUCUGUAAGCCUGCGAAGGUGGCCUGUGAGGGUUGCUGGAGGUAUCAGAAGUGCGAAUGCUGACAUAAGUAACGAUAAAGCGGGUGAAAAGCCCGCUCGCCGGAAGACCAAGGGUUCCUGUCCAACGUUAAUCGGGGCAGGGUGAGUCGACCCCUAAGGCGAGGCCGAAAGGCGUAGUCGAUGGGAAACGGGUUAAUAUUCCCGUACUUGGUGUUACUGCGAAGGGGGGACGGAGAAGGCUAUGUUGGCCGGGCGACGGUUGUCCCGGUUUAAGCGUGUAGGUGUGUGUUCCAGGUAAAUCCGGUUCACUUUAACACUGAGGCGUGACGACGAGGCACUACGGUGCUGAAGCAACAAAUGCCCUGCUUCCAGGAAAAGCCUCUAAGCAUCAGGUAACAUCAAAUCGUACCCCAAACCGACACAGGUGGUCAGGUAGAGAAUACCAAGGCGCUUGAGAGAACUCGGGUGAAGGAACUAGGCAAAAUGGUGCCGUAACUUCGGGAGAAGGCACGCUGACAUGUAGGUGAAGUGAUUUACUCAUGGAGCUGAAGUCAGUCGAAGAUACCAGCUGGCUGCAACUGUUUAUUAAAAACACAGCACUGUGCAAACACGAAAGUGGACGUAUACGGUGUGACGCCUGCCCGGUGCCGGAAGGUUAAUUGAUGGGGUCAGCGCAAGCGAAGCUCCUGAUCGAAGCCCCGGUAAACGGCGGCCGUAACUAUAACGGUCCUAAGGUAGCGAAAUUCCUUGUCGGGUAAGUUCCGACCUGCACGAAUGGCGUAAUGAUGGCCAGGCUGUCUCCACCCGAGACUCAGUGAAAUUGAACUCGCUGUGAAGAUGCAGUGUACCCGCGGCAAGACGGAAAGACCCCGUGAACCUUUACUAUAGCUUGACACUGAACAUUGAGCCUUGAUGUGUAGGAUAGGUGGGAGGCUUUGAAGUGUGGACGCCAGUCUGCAUGGAGCCGACCUUGAAAUACCACCCUUUAAUGUUUGAUGUUCUAACGUGGACCCGUGAUCCGGGUUGCGGACAGUGUCUGGUGGGUAGUUUGACUGGGGCGGUCUCCUCCUAAAGAGUAACGGAGGAGCACGAAGGUUGGCUAAUCCUGGUCGGACAUCAGGAGGUUAGUGCAAUGGCAUAAGCCAGCUUGACUGCGAGCGUGACGGCGCGAGCAGGUGCGAAAGCAGGUCAUAGUGAUCCGGUGGUUCUGAAUGGAAGGGCCAUCGCUCAACGGAUAAAAGGUACUCCGGGGAUAACAGGCUGAUACCGCCCAAGAGUUCAUAUCGACGGCGGUGUUUGGCACCUCGAUGUCGGCUCAUCACAUCCUGGGGCUGAAGUAGGUCCCAAGGGUAUGGCUGUUCGCCAUUUAAAGUGGUACGCGAGCUGGGUUUAGAACGUCGUGAGACAGUUCGGUCCCUAUCUGCCG